GUGGCACAGUUGGUAGCACGGUGUCCUUGCUGUUGCCAAGAAGGUUCUGGGUUCGACUCCCGGCCA
Molecule: non-coding RNA, 66 nt
Organism: Ataeniobius toweri
Lineage: Eukaryota; Metazoa; Chordata; Actinopteri; Cyprinodontiformes; Goodeidae
Source: the annotation of a GenBank genome assembly